AAUCAACGCUGGCGGCGUGCCUCAGACAUGCAAGUCGAACGCGAAAGUCCCCUUCGGGGGACAAGUAGAGUGGCGCACGGGUGAGUAACACGUAGGUAAUCUACCUUCGGAUGGGGAAUAACAACCGGAAACGGUUGCUAAUACCGCAUAAUGCAGCGGCACCUAAUGGUGACAGUUGUUAAAGCGGGGGAUCGAAAGACCUCGCGUCUGAAGAGGAGCCUGCGGCGGAUUAGCUAGNGGUAAGGUAAUGGCUUACCAAGGCGACGAUCCGUAGCCGGCCUGAGAGGGCGGUCGGCCACACUGACACUGACAUAC
RNAcentral lists this ribosomal RNA (315 nucleotides) under uncultured bacterium. Its description in RNAcentral is "bacterial SSU rRNA". It matches the Rfam family "Bacterial small subunit ribosomal RNA", at positions 32 to 327 of the family's 1533-position model. The record is from RNAcentral.